This 301-nucleotide ribosomal RNA is filed under the name uncultured bacterium. RNAcentral describes it as "partial 16S ribosomal RNA". It matches the Rfam family "Bacterial small subunit ribosomal RNA", at positions 509 to 807 of the family's 1533-position model. The record is from RNAcentral.
CAGUCGCCACGGGAAUACGGAGGGUGCAAGCGUUAAUCGGAAUUACUGGGCGUAAAGCGUGCGUAGGCGGCUUUUUAAGUCGGAUGUGAAAUCCCUGAGCUUAACUUAGGAAUUGCAUUCGAUACUGGGAAGCUAGAGUAUGGGAGAGGAUGGUAGAAUUCCAGGUGUAGCGGUGAAAUGCGUAGAGAUCUGGAGGAAUACCGAUGGCGAAGGCAGCCAUCUGGCCUAAUACUGACGCUGAGGUACGAAAGCAUGGGGAGCAAACAGGAUUAGAUACCCCCGUAGUCCCUGUCUCUUAUAC